Molecule: long non-coding RNA, 1649 nt
Organism: Papaver somniferum (opium poppy)
Lineage: Eukaryota; Viridiplantae; Streptophyta; Magnoliopsida; Ranunculales; Papaveraceae
Exons: 2
Source: RefSeq, a predicted model, not a curated record
GAGUCAGGGGUAUUUUGUUACCUGACUCAAAUGAGUCCGAGUCAGGGGUUAUGUCUGAGUCAUAGGUCGAGUCAGAUCUGAUUCAAAAUGGAAAACAAACGGUCUGACUGAUUGCAAACAAACAAGUUCUUAGUUAACUCUUAAAGCUUGAAUAAAUGGUUUUCUGAAGACUAAAAAUGUUUCUACAGACAUCCAAAUUUUAUUUUUCCAUCCUAAUCAAGUCUUAUACUGUUCUUUUAAACUAGCCGUUGUCUGUUUGCUAAAAUUACCCAAUGAACUGCAUCUUCGAAAUGCGGCUCGAGUUCUAAACAGAUUUAUUUUGGUUUCCUGAUUUAUAUCUAAAUUCGAUGUUGGUCGGCGGUAAAUGAUCUACGACUAAAAAUGUUAGUUAUAAUCGUAGCCUUUUUAAAUUUCCAUCUUAGAAAUGCCACUUUGUUUAUAAUGGUGCAUGUACCCAAGGAUACAAUGGCUUUGACAUUAAAUUUCAUAAUUGUUUUAUACGUUUUAUCCUUGCAUUUAGUAAGCAGCUGACCAACCCUUGUCAUGUUGCGUUUUAUUUUAUAAGAAAACUUAACUAUAUGUCUAUAGUUGAUCCAUUGAUUUUCCAAAUUGGGUCUCGUCUUUCUGCUCAUUUGGUACUCUUUUCCAACUAACUGAUCACUAGUGGUUUUCCUAUUUUGUACCCACUCAUACUAGAUGUUUUGCUUAUUUCUACUUUUCCCUAUGAAAGGUUAAUUUUUAUUAAGUUCUGAAAUGUGAAAUUGUUUUUAUAUUUGAGGACUUACAGUGAGUGCUUACCUAUGACAUAAUUACUCAACGUUUUCAGUAUUUUGAAUUGUUUUCAUUGACCAUGGAUUCUAUAUCGUGUUUCGUGGUAAGUGAUUCUUACUCUCAUACAGUUUUUGUGUUCAGUAAAAUCCGAUUUACUAAUCAUGUGAUUGCUGCCAAUGCAUUUGCGCAAGAUGUAGUUAAGAAUUUGUGAGAUUUCCAUAACAUUGUGCUUCGUGGAUGUUUUCUUUGUGACAACGUAUUUGGAAACUAGAUGACUCUACUUUUGGAAACUAGAUGACUCUACUUUAGGAACGUCAGGCCUAAAUGGCACCCCACCACCUCGGUGGCAACCCGGAAGAUCGUUGCGGCAACGAUGGCUGGUAACCAGAACUACCCUGGCGGUGGUACUGGCCAUGAAUAGUAGAGCAAUAUUAUUUAUGGUUCUGAAUCUUUAAACGGUAUUUGCAGUACGGAGAGAAGUUGCGGUAGUAAGCCGGGCAGAGCUUACGUAAGGCUUUAUCGCUUGGAAAGUUAGUAUUUUCUAAGCUUAUGAUAUUGUAUAUCACGGGGGUAUCUGGCUAGUUUCAGUUCUCUUGAUUUGAUCCCAUGUCAUUUCUAUUGCACUUUGAUGUUAUAUAUAUGUUGGCUUCUACCGGAUCUUUAUAUGUUUUAAAUUGAAAACUUGUCAGUUUCGUGUAUAAUGGGUCUGGUCUCGGGCUAUACAGACUAGUUUCUGAAUUCAUUUUGUUGCCUAGAUGUUCUUGGCUUUUGGCUUUACGGACUACAUUCUUUACCAUUGUUCUUUUUGGCAUUUGUUUAAUCUAAGAUAGGAUCUGUACAGUGAAUUUCUAAGUGUAAUUAAUAGCUACUUAUAUUCA